UCUGCUCUGCCCUUUCACCUCCUUUCGCUCCCCAGUCUCCUACUCCACUCCCUCAUUCAUGGUUUGCUCAUGCCCUUUCCCCUGCCCCCAGAUGAGUGAGCAGUUUGCCAGGUACAUUGACCAACAGAUCCAGGGUGGCCUGAUUGGUGGAGCCCCUGGAGUGGAUAUGCUGGGGCAGCUUCAGCGGCACCUGGAACCCAUUAUGGUCCUUUCUGGUCUGGAACUGGCCACAACUUUUGAGCACUUCUAUCAGCAUUAUAUGGCAGACCGUCUCCUGAGCUUUGGUUCGAGCUGGCUGGAGGGGGCUGUGCUAGAGCAGAUUGGCCUCUGUUUUCCCAACCGCCUCCCACAGCUGAUGCUGCAGAGCCUGAGCACCUCUGAGGAGCUGCAGCGCCAGUUCCACCUCUUCCAGCUCCAGCGGCUCGACAAGUUGUUCUUGGAGCAGGAAGAUGAAGAGGAAAAGAGACUAGAGGAAGAGGAGGUCAGAACCAUCCAGUCCUGGACAUGGGACCACAUCGGCGACUGCAGUGGACGUGGCUGGGCCGGGCUGAGCUGCAGUUUGGGAACCAGACACUGCAUGUGUCCACCGUGCAGAUGUGGCUGCUGCUGAAAUUCAAUCAGACAGAGAGCUGCUGCUCCAG
Molecule: small RNA, 641 nt
Filed under: Pan troglodytes (chimpanzee)
Lineage: Eukaryota; Metazoa; Chordata; Mammalia; Primates; Hominidae
Description: retained intron
Source: RNAcentral